GACGAACGCUGGCGGAGUGCUUAACACAUGCAAGUCGAACGGAAAGGCCCUGCUUUUGUGGGGUGCUCGAGUGGCGAACGGGUGAGUAACACGUGAGUAACCUGCCCUUGACUUUGGGAUAACUUCAGGAAACUGGGGCUAAUACCGGAUAGGAGCUCCUGCUGCAUGGUGGGGGUUGGAAAGUUUCGGCGGUUGGGGAUGGACUCGCGGCUUAUCAGCUUGUUGGUGGGGUAGUGGCUUACCAAGGCUUUGACGGGUAGCCGGCCUGAGAGGGUGACCGGCCACAUUGGGACUGAGAUACGGCCCAGACUCCUACGGGAGGCAGCAGUGGGGAAUAUUGCACAAUGGGCGGAAGCCUGAUGCAGCAACGCCGCGUGCGGGAUGACGGCCUUCGGGUUGUAAACCGCUUUCGCCUGUGACGAAGCGUGAGUGACGGUAAUGGGUAAAGAAGCACCGGCUAACUACGU
RNAcentral lists this ribosomal RNA (467 nucleotides) under uncultured bacterium. RNAcentral's name for it is "partial 16S ribosomal RNA". It matches the Rfam family "Bacterial small subunit ribosomal RNA", at positions 28 to 506 of the family's 1533-position model. The record is from RNAcentral.